UACGGAGGGCGCAAGCGUUGUCCGGAUUCACUGGGUGUAAAGGGUGUGUAGGCGGAGUGGCAAGUCAGUGGUGAAAUCCCGCGGCUUAACCGUAGAAUUGCCAUAGAUACUGCUGUUCUUGAGUACUGGAGAGGCUGCUAGAAUUCGUGGUGUAGCGGUGAAAUGCGUAGAUAUCACGAGGAAUACCAGAGGCGUAGGCGGGUAGCUGGACAGAUACUGACGCUGAGGAGCGAAAGCGUGGGGAGCAAACAGG
This 253-nucleotide ribosomal RNA is filed under the name uncultured bacterium. RNAcentral's name for it is "partial 16S ribosomal RNA". It matches the Rfam family "Bacterial small subunit ribosomal RNA", at positions 524 to 776 of the family's 1533-position model. The record is from RNAcentral.